Molecule: small nuclear RNA, 158 nt
Filed under: Trichobilharzia regenti
Lineage: Eukaryota; Metazoa; Platyhelminthes; Trematoda; Strigeidida; Schistosomatidae
Description: U1 spliceosomal RNA
Rfam family: U1 spliceosomal RNA
About the family: U1 is a small nuclear RNA (snRNA) component of the spliceosome (involved in pre-mRNA splicing). Its 5' end forms complementary base pairs with the 5' splice junction, thus defining the 5' donor site of an intron. There are significant differences in sequence and secondary structure between metazoan and yeast U1 snRNAs, the latter being much longer (568 nucleotides as compared to 164 nucleotides in human).
Source: Rfam by way of RNAcentral
GUACCAACGGGCGCAGGGACCAGGGUGAUCACGAAUGCCCUGGCCCCAGGUGGAGUCUCGCCUUUGAACGUUGGCGUGUUGAAGUCUUCAACGAUCCCUAAUCAGGUUCUCUCGGACGCGUAGUUUUUGCUAGUGGGGAGGUCUUUGGAUCAUCCUUU